CAGCCGGGUUCAAUGCGCCAUAUUGAAGAGGACGGGUCUAAUAGAUCGCUGGAGACACAAUUUAACUGAACCCCGCCCGUUGUGGACUGACUUUGAUGCUCUGAGUCCCUCCCUCCUUCACGCCGCUAGCAGGCCCUGAUGUAGAUUGCCUUUGUCUUACUUGGGACGUUUACCUGAGCGCUUGGUGCUGGUGUCGGGACCGGGAGAUAGGAGUGUCUCAGGAGAGACCUGGCCGAAAACCGCGAGAAAGAAAAGUGAAGCCUAGUGAAACUGCCUUUGCAGUGACUCAAGAAAAACUCAUCACCUGGAGUCCGUGUAAGCUCGGCGACAGCCCUAGCAGCGAGGCCAAAACAGUUUGGGAAGAAAGAAAACCUAAAGUAUUUGCCGUUGGUGAUUCA
Molecule: long non-coding RNA, 398 nt
Filed under: Homo sapiens (human)
Lineage: Eukaryota; Metazoa; Chordata; Mammalia; Primates; Hominidae
Description: non-protein coding TTTY15:3
Source: RNAcentral